GUAGCCACUUUAACUAUUUAUUUUCAAUACUGCAACCGCACAGAGUACUCGGUCAUACGUUGUACUAACUUAACGAUAGAGAUCACAUCGUUUACAAUAUUUGAAGUUUGUGAGUUUGAUAAUAUUAAUCCAGAAAAAAUGAAAGUUUCUUUAAAAAAUAUCAAGAUCCUACUUCUAAUAAUAACGUGUUGUUUACUCGGCUCCGCAUACAGUGUUUCCCUCUUUGGUGUCGAUUUCACAGCACCAGUAAAAAUUGUGAAAACUGGAAUCGGAAAAAUAACGAAACCACUACACCCACUUUCAACAUUACAACCUACACUACAAUCUUCAACAAAUAAGUUAACUCAGGAAAACAACCUCUCUACACGCAAGCCAAUCAAAGACGAC
Cydia amplana is the source of this 387-nucleotide long non-coding RNA. RefSeq lists it as uncharacterized. Lineage: Eukaryota; Metazoa; Arthropoda; Insecta; Lepidoptera; Tortricidae. The record is from RefSeq and is a predicted model, not a curated record. The transcript has 3 exons.